RNAcentral lists this long non-coding RNA (543 nucleotides) under Gossypium raimondii (Peruvian cotton). RNAcentral describes it as "long non-coding RNA (GRAI_LNC002639)". Lineage: Eukaryota; Viridiplantae; Streptophyta; Magnoliopsida; Malvales; Malvaceae. The record is from RNAcentral.
GUGGUGGCAUGCUUUAUUUUUAUUUAUAUACAAGAAACAUAUAAUUAUAUUUAGAAAUAUAAUCAAUUCGUUACUUAUAUUAUCAACAAUAUAAUAAAAAAAAGUAAACAUCACUAACAUUGAAAAAUUAAAUUUAUUGUAUAAUCCAUAAAUUAUUUUUAAAAUAAACAACAGGAACCCACCAUAACCCAUUAUUAUUCGGUCAUGCAAAACCCAAAAAAUAAAAAUUAAAACAAAAAGUUCCCCAAGUCCCCCAAGUCCCCCAAGACUCCAACCCACUUCCUUUUCUUCUAUCGUGAGGCAGAGAGCCAAAAACAAAAGAGAAAAAAAUUAGGGUUUAGGUUUUCUUUACUUUACAAGAUCUGUCCCUUCUUUCUCAAAUUUUUUCCAAUUUCUUUAAACUUUGCCUAGGCUACCAUUGAUUCCUACCAAAAUGCCUGAAAAUGUAAAGAUGAUUUGCAAAGGUUUUGUAAAAAAUUUCUCAUCAAUCUUUGCAUGUUAUAACAAAAAAAAAAAGAAGCAAGAAUCAAGACAAAAAAAUUU